UUUGGUGAACCUUGUCAAAGCUAAGUACUGUAGUUUGCAACCUUGGGCACCUUCUUACUCCAACUUGCAAUGGCCAUGUAGGUGUCUUAUAUUGCCCUUUGACCUAGUCUUGGAUUCCUUGGCUCGGAUGGAACCAUUGGAUGAGCUGUGUAGGGAAUGGAAACUUAUCCAUCAUUGGUGCUCCCUAAAGCCAAGCAGCAGAAAGAGGAAGCAUGAUUGUUGUACGAAGAUCUUCUUGUGAUGUAGUUUUAAAAUUAUUGAGAGUAACCCCCAUAUAUUAUAUCAUCAAACACAUGUUUCUUUGAGGCUACGCAAACUUUGCUAAUAUAGCAAUGCAUAACCUAUCUUAUUUUAUGUGGAAGAUUAAUAUAUACAUCAUUCUUUGCC
Molecule: long non-coding RNA, 387 nt
Filed under: Phoenix dactylifera (date palm)
Lineage: Eukaryota; Viridiplantae; Streptophyta; Magnoliopsida; Arecales; Arecaceae
Description: long non-coding RNA (PDAC_LNC005710)
Source: RNAcentral